ACUAGAGUAGCACUCGCAUAUCAAUAAGCGGAGGAAAAGAAACUAACAAGGAUUCCCUUAGUAACGGCGAGUGAAGCGGGAAGAGCUCAAAUUUGAAAUCUUCAAGGUUCUACCUUGACGAAUUGUAGUUUAUAGAAGUGUUUUCUGUUAGUGGAGUGGCAAAAGUUCUUUGGAGUAGGACAUCAUAGAGGGUGAGAAUCCCGUAUUUGGUCAUUCCUCCUAGCGUUGUGAUACACUUUCAACGAGUCGGAUUGUUUGGGAAUGCAGUCCAAAAUGGGUGGUAGAUUUCAUCUAAAGCUAAAUAUUGGCGAGAGACCGAUAGCGAACAAGUACCGUGAGGGAAAGAUGAAAAGAACUUUGAAAAGAGAGUUAAACAGUACGUGAAAUUGUCAAAAGGGAAGCGUUUGACACCAGUAUUGUUUUCUCGAAAAUCAAUUAAAAAUGGCGGGAUGUUGUGUUGUAUUGACUUUAUCAGCUUUCUGCACUCUUUUUCCUGUCUUUUUAAUGCACUUUUCGUUUAACAAGUCAACAUCAAUUUCUUUUGUUGUAAAAGGGUCAUUGGAAGGUGGCUUUCUUUUCGGAGAAAGUGUUUAUAGCCUUUGGACUUCUGCAGUCGGAGAGAUUGAGGUCUGCAGCGUAGAUCCUUCGGGGUUAGAUACAUUUGUGCUAAGCUAUAGCCUUUCAUAGACAACUUGUUGACUAUGAUCAGUCAUGUAGCUUACUCGCUUAUGCUAUUUUACCUACGCUUAGGAUGUUGAAGAUGUAGCACAUCAU
Molecule: ribosomal RNA, 774 nt
Filed under: uncultured Neocallimastigales
Lineage: Eukaryota; Fungi; Neocallimastigomycota; Neocallimastigomycetes; Neocallimastigales
Description: partial large subunit ribosomal RNA
Rfam family: Eukaryotic large subunit ribosomal RNA
Source: RNAcentral